GACGAACUGUCCUAACGUUGUUCGGAAUCACUGGGCUUAAAGGGUGCGUAGGCGGGUCUUUUAAGUCAGGGGUGAAAUCCUGGAGCUCAACUCCAGAACUGCCUUUGAUACUGAAGAUCUUGAGUUCGGGAGAGGUGAGUGGAACUGCGAGUGUAGAGGUGAAAUUCGAUAGAUAUUCGCAAGAACACCAGUGGCGAAGGCGGCUCACUGGCCCGAUACUGACGCUGAGGCACGAAAAGCGUGGGGGAGCAAACAGG
RNAcentral lists this ribosomal RNA (257 nucleotides) under uncultured bacterium. RNAcentral's name for it is "partial 16S ribosomal RNA". It matches the Rfam family "Bacterial small subunit ribosomal RNA", at positions 524 to 776 of the family's 1533-position model. The record is from RNAcentral.